This 440-nucleotide ribosomal RNA is filed under the name uncultured bacterium. RNAcentral's name for it is "partial 16S ribosomal RNA". It matches the Rfam family "Bacterial small subunit ribosomal RNA", at positions 338 to 795 of the family's 1533-position model. The record is from RNAcentral.
CCUACGGGCGGCUGCAGUGGGGGAUAUUGCGCAAUGCGCGGAAGACUGAUGCAGCGACGCCGCGUGGGUGACGGAGCGCUUCGGCGCGUAAAGUUCUUUCGACAGGGAAGAAGAUGCAGAUACCUGACUCAGAAUCCCCGGCUAACUCCGUGCCAGCAGCCGCGGUAAUACGGAGGGGGCAAGCGUUGUCCGGAUUGACUGGGUGUAAAGGGGUCGCAGACGGCGUUGCAAGACAGGAGUGAAAGCCCAGGGCUCAACCCCAGGACUGCUCUUGGAACUGCAUGGCUAGAGUACCGGAGAGGAUAGCAGAAUUCCUAGUGUAGCGGUGAAAUGCGUAGAUAUUAGGAGGAACACCGGUGGCGAAGGCGGCCAGCUGGAUUGAAACUGACGUUGAGGCCCGAAGGCGUGGGGAGCAAACAGGAUUAGAUACCCUUGUAGUC